Molecule: small RNA, 30 nt
Filed under: Bombyx mori (domestic silkworm)
Lineage: Eukaryota; Metazoa; Arthropoda; Insecta; Lepidoptera; Bombycidae
Description: piRNA piR-bmo-1368423
Source: RNAcentral
UGAACCAAGAUAAAUAAAAAAACAUUCAGA